This 484-nucleotide ribosomal RNA is filed under the name uncultured bacterium. RNAcentral describes it as "partial 16S ribosomal RNA". It matches the Rfam family "Bacterial small subunit ribosomal RNA", at positions 30 to 507 of the family's 1533-position model. The record is from RNAcentral.
AUUGAACGCUGGCGGCAGGACUAACACAUGCAAGUCGAGCGGAUGAAGGGAGCUUGCUCCUGGAUUCAGCGGCGGACGGGUGAGUAAUGCCUAGGAAUCUGCCUGGUAGUGGGGGAUAACGUCCGGAAACGGGCGCUAAUACCGCAUACGUCCUGAGGGAGAAAGUGGGGGAUCUUCGGACCUCACGCUAUCAGAUGAGCCUAGGUCUGAUUAGCUAGUUGGUGGGGUAAAGGCCUACCAAGGCGACGAUCCGUAACUGGUCUGAGAGGAUGAUCAGUCACACUGGAACUGAGACACGGUCCAGACUCCUACGGGAGGCAGCAGUGGGGAAUAUUGGACAAAGGGCGAAAGCCUGAUCCAGCCAUGCCGCGUGUGUGAAGAAGGUCUUCGGAUUGUAAAGCACUUUAAGUUGGGAGGAAGGGCAGUAAGUUAAUACCUUGCUGUUUUGACGUUACCAACAGAAUAAGCACCGGCUAACUUCGUG